GAGUUUGAUCAUGGCUCAGAUUGAACGCUGGCGGCAUGCCUUACACAUGCAAGUCGAACGGCAGCAUGAUCUAGCUUGCUAGAUUGAUGGCGAGUGGCGAACGGGUGAGUAAUACAUCGGAACGUGCCCUGUAGUGAGGGAUAACUAGUCGAAAGAUUAGCUAAUACCGCAUACGACCUGAGGGUGAAAGUGGGGGACCGCAAGGCCUCAUGCUAUAGGAGCGGCCGAUGUCUGAUUAGCUAGUUGGUGGGGUAAAGGCCCACCAAGGCGACGAUCAGUAGCUGGUCUGAGAGGACGAUCAGCCACACUGGGACUGAGACACGGCCCAGACUCCUACGGGAGGCAGCAGUGGGAAUUUUGGACAAUGGGCGAAAGCCUGAUCCAGCAAUGCCGCGUGUGUGAAG
Molecule: ribosomal RNA, 404 nt
Filed under: uncultured microorganism
Description: bacterial SSU rRNA
Rfam family: Bacterial small subunit ribosomal RNA
Source: RNAcentral